GAUGAACGCUAGCGGCAGGCUUAAUACAUGCAAGUCAAGGGGGUAGCAAUACAACCGGCGCACGGGUGAGUAACGCGUACACAACAUACCAUAUACUGGAGUAUAGCUUUGGGAAACUGAAGGUAAUCCUCCAUAACAUUGCGAGAGGGCAUCUGAUUGCAAUUAAAGUUUCGGCGGUAUAUGAUUGGUGUGCGUUUGAUUAGCUAGUUGGUAGGGUAACGGCCUACCAAGGCGACGAUCAAUAGCUGGCGUGAGAGCGCGACCAGCCACACUGGAACUGAGACACGGUCCAGACUCCUACGGGAGGCAGCAGUGGGGAAUAUUGGACAAUGGACCAAAAGUCUGAUCCAGCAAUUCUGUGUGCUUGAUGAAGGCCUCGGUUGUAA
This 386-nucleotide ribosomal RNA is filed under the name uncultured bacterium. Its description in RNAcentral is "bacterial SSU rRNA". It matches the Rfam family "Bacterial small subunit ribosomal RNA", at positions 28 to 428 of the family's 1533-position model. The record is from RNAcentral.